AAAUUGAAGAGUUUGAUCAUGGCUCAGAUUGAACGCUGGCGGCAGGCCUAACACAUGCAAGUCGAACGGUAACAGGAAGCAGCUUGCUGCUUUGCUGACGAGUGGCGGACGGGUGAGUAAUGUCUGGGAAACUGCCUGAUGGAGGGGGAUAACUACUGGAAACGGUGGCUAAUACCGCAUAACGUCGCAAGACCAAAGAGGGGGACCUUCGGGCCUCUUGCCAUCAGAUGUGCCCAGAUGGGAUUAGCUUGUUGGUGAGGUAACGGCUCACCAAGGCGACGAUCCCUAGCUGGUCUGAGAGGAUGACCAGCCACACUGGAACUGAGACACGGUCCAGACUCCUACGGGAGGCAGCAGUGGGGAAUAUUGCACAAUGGGCGCAAGCCUGAUGCAGCCAUGCCGCGUGUAUGAAGAAGGCCUUCGGGUUGUAAAGUACUUUCAGCGGGGAGGAAGGUGUUGUGGUUAAUAACCGCAGCAAUUGACGUUACCCGCAGAAGAAGCACCGGCUAACUCCGUGCCAGCAGCCGCGGUAAUACGGAGGGUGCAAGCGUUAAUCGGAAUUACUGGGCGUAAAGCGCACGCAGGCGGUCUGUCAAGUCGGAUGUGAAAUCCCCGGGCUCAACCUGGGAACUGCAUUCGAAACUGGCAGGCUUGAGUCUUGUAGAGGGGGGUAGAAUUCCAGGUGUAGCGGUGAAAUGCGUAGAGAUCUGGAGGAAUACCGGUGGCGAAGGCGGCCCCCUGGACAAAGACUGACGCUCAGGUGCGAAAGCGUGGGGAGCAAACAGGAUUAGAUACCCUGGUAGUCCACGCCGUAAACGAUGUCUACUUGGAGGUUGUGCCCUUGAGGCGUGGCUUCCGGAGCUAACGCGUUAAGUAGACCGCCUGGGGAGUACGGCCGCAAGGUUAAAACUCAAAUGAAUUGACGGGGGCCCGCACAAGCGGUGGAGCAUGUGGUUUAAUUCGAUGCAACGCGAAGAACCUUACCUGGUCUUGACAUCCACGGAAGAAUUCAGAGAUGGAUUUGUGCCUUCGGGAACCGUGAGACAGGUGCUGCAUGGCUGUCGUCAGCUCGUGUUGUGAAAUGUUGGGUUAAGUCCCGCAACGAGCGCAACCCUUAUCCUUUGUUGCCAGCGAUUAGGUCGGGAACUCAAAGGAGACUGCCAGUGAUAAACUGGAGGAAGGUGGGGAUGACGUCAAGUCAUCAUGGCCCUUACGACCAGGGCUACACACGUGCUACAAUGGCGCAUACAAAGAGAAGCGACCUCGCGAGAGCAAGCGGACCUCAUAAAGUGCGUCGUAGUCCGGAUUGGAGUCUGCAACUCGACUCCAUGAAGUCGGAAUCGCUAGUAAUCGUGGAUCAGAAUGCCACGGUGAAUACGUUCCCGGGCCUUGUACACACCGCCCGUCACACCAUGGGAGUGGGUUGCAAAAGAAGUAGGUAGCUUAACCUUCGGGAGGGCGCUUACCACUUUGUGAUUCAUGACUGGGGUGAAGUCGUAACAAGGUAACCGUAGGGGAACCUGCGGUUGGAUCACCUCCUUACCUGAAAGAA
Molecule: ribosomal RNA, 1552 nt
Filed under: Salmonella enterica subsp. enterica serovar Senftenberg
Lineage: Bacteria; Pseudomonadati; Pseudomonadota; Gammaproteobacteria; Enterobacterales; Enterobacteriaceae
Description: bacterial SSU rRNA
Rfam family: Bacterial small subunit ribosomal RNA
Source: RNAcentral